RNAcentral lists this long non-coding RNA (227 nucleotides) under Mustela putorius furo (domestic ferret). Its description in RNAcentral is "lncRNA (ENSMPUG00000026408.1)". Lineage: Eukaryota; Metazoa; Chordata; Mammalia; Carnivora; Mustelidae. The record is from RNAcentral.
AUUUUGAGUGUGUUUAAUAAUCACACUUGAUGUAUUUGUGUUUUUCUAUUGGUGUCAAUUGCCUGACAAAUUUCAAAAGAGAAAGAAAGAAAGAAAAACAGAAACCACAACACUGUCAUCGCUACAAGAAGGUAUAUCUUCACAUAUUACUAACAAAAGAAGUUCACCAACAGAAAUUUCCAGAGCAUAAAUCCAUGGAGAGAAGUGGAUGGCAGGUACAUAUGCCA